This 301-nucleotide ribosomal RNA is filed under the name uncultured bacterium. Its description in RNAcentral is "partial 16S ribosomal RNA". It matches the Rfam family "Bacterial small subunit ribosomal RNA", at positions 509 to 807 of the family's 1533-position model. The record is from RNAcentral.
CAGUAGCCGCGGUAAUACGAAGGGUGCAAGCGUUAAUCGGAAUUACUGGGCGUAAAGCGUGCGUAGGCGGUUUGUUAAGUCUGCUGUGAAAUCCCCGGGCUCAACCUGGGAAUGGCAAUGGAUACUGGCAAGCUAGAGUGUGUCAGAGGAUGGUGGAAUUCCCGGUGUAGCGGUGAAAUGCGUAGAGAUCGGGAGGAACAUCAGUGGCGAAGGCGGCCAUCUGGGUCAACACUGACGCUGAGGCACGAAAGCGUGGGGAGCAAACAGGAUUAGAUACCCGGGUAGUCCCUGUCUCUUAUAC